ACGGGCUUAGUCUAAUGGCAAAACACUUGGCUCUGACCCAAGAUUUGUUGGUUCGACCCCAGCAGCCCGUG
Molecule: transfer RNA, 71 nt
Filed under: Caudoviricetes sp.
Lineage: Duplodnaviria; Heunggongvirae; Uroviricota; Caudoviricetes
Description: tRNA-Gln
Rfam family: tRNA
About the family: Transfer RNA (tRNA) molecules are approximately 80 nucleotides in length. Their secondary structure includes four short double-helical elements and three loops (D, anti-codon, and T loops).
Source: RNAcentral